RNAcentral lists this ribosomal RNA (254 nucleotides) under uncultured bacterium. RNAcentral's name for it is "partial 16S ribosomal RNA". It matches the Rfam family "Bacterial small subunit ribosomal RNA", at positions 524 to 776 of the family's 1533-position model. The record is from RNAcentral.
UACGGGGGGAGCAAGCGUUGUUCGGAUUUACUGGGCGUAAAGGGCGCGUAGGCGGUCAGUGCAAGUCAGUUGUGAAAUCUCCGGGCUUAACUCGGAAAGGUCAACUGAUACUGCUCGACUAGAGUGCGGAAGGGGCAACUGGAACAAGCGGUGGAGCGGUGAAAUGCGUAGAUAUCGCUUGGAACGCCAACGGUGAAAACAGGUUGCUGGGGGUGUGCUGACGCUGAGACACGAAAGCCAGGGGAGCGAACGGG